UUGCUUGCUCUUGCCUCUUGUGCUCGUAGCUGCAGCAGCGACAGCGCUACCGUCCCACCAUCGCUACCGAGCCUUGGGAGCUCGUCGCGGACCAAACAAGCCACCCAACCUUGCAUCCGAGGGCACCAUUCACUUUCUCUUCAUUUCCUCCAUCCAGUGCACACGCUGAGCCUUGGUGACGCUUCCUCCGCCCUCUUCUUGCCCUGUUUUCUUGC
This 215-nucleotide long non-coding RNA is filed under the name Sorghum bicolor (sorghum). RNAcentral's name for it is "long non-coding RNA (SBIC_LNC003115)". Lineage: Eukaryota; Viridiplantae; Streptophyta; Magnoliopsida; Poales; Poaceae. The record is from RNAcentral.